CAGCCGCCGCGGUAAAACGGAGGGUGCAAGCGUUAAUCGGAAUUACUGGGCGUAAAGCGUGCGUAGGUGGUGGUUUAAGUCCGUUGUGAAAGCCCUGGGCUCAACCUGGGAAUUGCAGUGGAUACUGGGUCACUAGAGUGUGGUAGAGGAUAGUGGAAUUUCCGGUGUAGCAGUGAAAUGCGUAGAGAUCGGAAGGAACAUCUGUGGCGAAGGCGACUAUCUGGGCCAACACUGACACUGAGGCACGAAAGCGUGGGGAGCAAACAGGAUUAGAUACCCGCGUAGUCCCUGUCUCUUAUAC
RNAcentral lists this ribosomal RNA (301 nucleotides) under uncultured bacterium. Its description in RNAcentral is "partial 16S ribosomal RNA". It matches the Rfam family "Bacterial small subunit ribosomal RNA", at positions 509 to 807 of the family's 1533-position model. The record is from RNAcentral.